This 231-nucleotide ribosomal RNA is filed under the name uncultured bacterium. Its description in RNAcentral is "partial 16S ribosomal RNA". It matches the Rfam family "Bacterial small subunit ribosomal RNA", at positions 118 to 351 of the family's 1533-position model. The record is from RNAcentral.
UGAGUAACCUGCCCUUAACUCUGGGAUAAGCCUGGGAAACUGGGUCUAAUACCGGAUAUGAGUCCGAGCGGCAUCACGCGGACUGGAAAGUUUUUCGGCUAAGGAUGGGCUCGCGGCCUAUCAGCUUGUUGGUGAGGUAAUGGCUCACCAAGGCAACGACGGGUAGCCGGCCUGAGAGGGUGUCCGGCCACACUGGGACUGAGAUACGGCCCAGACUCCUACGGGAGGCAG